RNAcentral lists this ribosomal RNA (306 nucleotides) under Oenococcus oeni. RNAcentral's name for it is "partial 16S ribosomal RNA". It matches the Rfam family "Bacterial small subunit ribosomal RNA", at positions 1234 to 1533 of the family's 1533-position model. Lineage: Bacteria; Bacillati; Bacillota; Bacilli; Lactobacillales; Lactobacillaceae. The record is from RNAcentral.
GAAGUACAACGAGUCGCAAACCGGCGACGGUAAGCUAAUCUCUUAAAACUUCUCUCAGUUCGGACUGGAGUCUGCAACUCGACUCCACGAAGGCGGAAUCGCUAGUAAUCGCGAAUCAGCAUGUCGCGGUGAAUACGUUCCCGGGUCUUGUACACACCGCCCGUCAAAUCAUGGGAGUCGGAAGUACCCAAAGUCGCUUGGCUAACUUUUAGAGGCCGGUGCCUAAGGUAAAAUCGAUGACUGGGAUUAAGUCGUAACAAGGUAGCCGUAGGAGAACCUGCGGCUGGAUCACCUCCUUUCUAAGGA